GGCCUGGUGGUCUAGCGGUUACGAUUCUUGCUUCGGGUCAGACCCUGCUUGUAGAAGCAUGAAAUGCGAGAGGUCCCGGGUUCAAAUCCCGGCCAGGCCC
Molecule: transfer RNA, 100 nt
Filed under: Pleurotus eryngii
Lineage: Eukaryota; Fungi; Basidiomycota; Agaricomycetes; Agaricales; Pleurotaceae
Description: tRNA-Pro
Rfam family: tRNA
About the family: Transfer RNA (tRNA) molecules are approximately 80 nucleotides in length. Their secondary structure includes four short double-helical elements and three loops (D, anti-codon, and T loops).
Source: RNAcentral